Molecule: ribosomal RNA, 253 nt
Filed under: uncultured bacterium
Lineage: Bacteria
Description: partial 16S ribosomal RNA
Rfam family: Bacterial small subunit ribosomal RNA
Source: RNAcentral
UACGGAGGGGGCUAGCGUUGUUCGGGAUUACGGGGCGUAAAGCGCACGUAGGCGGACUGUUAAGUCGGGGGUGAAAUCCCGGGGCUCAACCCCGGAACGGCCUUCGAUACUGGAGGUCUCGAGUUCGAGAGAGGUGAGUGGAAUUCCUAGUGUAGAGGUGAAAUUCGUAGAUAUUAGGAAGAACACCAGUGGCGAAGGCGGCUCACUGGCUCGGUACUGACGCUGAGGCGCGAAAGCGUGGGGAGCAAACAGG